UUAAGUGAACAAGGGCAUACGGCGGAUGCCUUGGCGCCAAGAGCCGAUGAAGGACGCGGUAAGCUGCGAAAAGGCAUGGGUAGGAGCAAGCAUCCAGUGAUCCAUGCAUAUCCGAAUGGGGCAACCCACCAUCAGUCAUGUGAUGGUACGAAAGAGGCAGACCUGGGGAACUGAAACAUCUAAGUACCCAGAGGAAAAGUAAUCAAUUGAGAUUCCCUAAGUAGCGGCGAGCGAAAGGGGAAGAGCCCAAACCAUGAAACUUCGGUUUUGUGGGGUUGAGGACCGGCAAAAAGAGGAAACUUCUUAGUCGAAUGGUUUGGAAAGGCCAUGCACAGAAGGUAAAACACCUGUAGGCGAAAAGAAGUCAAUCGGGCUGGUAUCCAGAGUACUGCGAGACACGUGAAACCUUGCAGGAAGCAGGGGGGACCACCCUCCAAGGCAAAAUACUACUUGGCGACCGAUAGCGCAUAGUACCGUGAGGGAAAGGUGAAAAGAACCCCGGGAGGGGAGUGAAAUAGAACCUGAAACCGUAUGUCUACAAGCAGUCGAAGCACCUUAAGAGUGCGACGGCGUGCCUAUUGAAGAAUGAACCGGCGAGUUACAUUAUGUUGCGAGGUUAAGUGGGAGACACGGAGCCGAAGCGAAAGCGAGUCUUAAUAGGGCGACUAGUAACAUGGUGUAGACCCGAAACCGCAGUGAUCUAUCCAUGGUCAGGUUGAAGCGCAGGUAAAAAUGCGUGGAGGACCGAACCCGUGAGUGUUGAAAAACUUUGGGAUGAACCGUGGAUAGGGGUGAAAUGCCAAUCGAACGCGGAGAUAGCUGGUACUCCCCGAAAUAGCUUUAGGGCUAGCCUCAGGGAAGAUUAUAGACGGUAGAGCACUGAUCUGGCAAGGGGGCGUAAAGCCUACCGACCCUAGUCAAACUUCGAAUGGCUAUAAUUAAGACCCUGGGAGUCAGACUGCGAGUGAUAAGACCCGUAGUCAAGAGGGAAACAGCCCAGACCGCCGACUAAGGUCCCCAAUGCUGUACUAAGUGGAAAAGGAUGUAAGACUUCAUAAACAACCAGGAUGUUGGCUUAGAAGCAGCCACCAUUAAAAGAGUGCGUAAUAGCUCACUGGUCGAGAGGCCUUGCGCCGAAGAUGUCCGGGGCUCAAGUACAGAACCGAAGUCGCGGCAGGAUUAUAUAAUUCUGGGUAGGGGAGCGUUGUAUAUCCGACUGAAGGUGUACCGGAAGGAGCGCUGGAGGAUAUACAAGAGAGAAUGCCGGUAUGAGUAGCGAAAAGAACAGUGAGAAUCUGUUCCACCGAAAGCCUAAGGUUUCCUGAGCAACGCUCGUCGACUCAGGGUAAGUCGGGACCUAAGCCGAGGCAAAAAGCAUAGGCGAUGGACAACAGGUUAAUAUUCCUGUACCGCUUCAAAUCGUUUGAGCAAUGGAGUGACACAGAAGGUAGCUUGAGCACGCGAAUGGAUGUGCGUGUCGAAGGUGGUAGGUUGCAGUAUAGGCAAAUCCGUACUGUAUAAGACCGAGAACUGAUAGAUAGACAAUACUUCGGUAAAGUCAAAUUCAAGUGAGCCAUGCUGUCGAGAAAAGCUUCUAGUGAGAGAUGAGGCGCCCGUACCGAAACCGACACAGGUAGGCGGGGAGAGAAUCCUAAGGUGCGCGGGACAACCCUCGUUAAGGAACUCGGCAAAUUGUAUCCGUAACUUAGGGAUAAGGAUAGCCGGAGGAUGUGAAGGGAUUUACUUCUGGAGCGUCAGCCGGUGGCACAAGAGAGGCCCAAGCGACUGUUUAGCACAAACACAGGUGCCUGCAAAAGAGAAAUCUGACGUAUAGGUGCUGACACCUGCCCGGUGCUGGAAGGUUAAGAGGAGGGCUUAGAGGCAACUCGAAGGCUUGAAUUGAAGCCCCAGUAAACGGCGGCCGUAACUAUAACGGUCCUAAGGUAGCGAAAUUCCUUGUCGGGUAAGUUC
RNAcentral lists this ribosomal RNA (1971 nucleotides) under human gut metagenome. RNAcentral's name for it is "bacterial LSU rRNA". It matches the Rfam family "Bacterial large subunit ribosomal RNA", at positions 1 to 1983 of the family's 2925-position model. The record is from RNAcentral.